This 208-nucleotide ribosomal RNA is filed under the name uncultured bacterium. Its description in RNAcentral is "partial 16S ribosomal RNA". It matches the Rfam family "Bacterial small subunit ribosomal RNA", at positions 568 to 775 of the family's 1533-position model. The record is from RNAcentral.
CGCGCAGGCGGUCGUUCAAGUCGAGUGUGAAAGCCCCCGGCUCAACUAGGGAGGGUCAUUCGAUACUGAUCGACUCGAAGGCAGGAGAGGGAAGUGGAAUUCCCGGUGUAGUGGUGAAAUGCGUAGAUAUCGGGAGGAACACCAGUGGCGAAGGCGACUUCCUGGCCUGUUCUUGACGCUGAGGCGCGAAAGCUAGGGGAGGCAAACG